RNAcentral lists this ribosomal RNA (776 nucleotides) under Aporcelaimellus nigeriensis. Its description in RNAcentral is "SSU rRNA". It matches the Rfam family "Eukaryotic small subunit ribosomal RNA", at positions 100 to 876 of the family's 1831-position model. The record is from RNAcentral. Lineage: Eukaryota; Metazoa; Nematoda; Enoplea; Dorylaimida; Aporcelaimidae.
AUUACAACAGCCACCGUUUACUAGAAUAUAGUUAUCCUACUUGGAUAACUGUGGCAAUUCUAGAGCUAAUACAUGCAAAAAAGCUCCGCCCGCAAGGAACGAGCGCAUUUAUUAGAAUAAAAACCAAUCGGGUCUCGGCCCGUAAUUUGGUGAAUCUGAAUAACUUUGCCAAUCGCACAGUCCUAGUACUGGCGAUGUAUCUUUCAAGUGUCUGCCUUAUCAACUUUCGAUGGUAGGUUAUACGCCUACCAUGGUAGUAACGGGUAACGGAGAAUAAGGGUUCGACUCCGGAGAGGGAGCCUGAGAAACGGCUACCACAUCCAAGGAAGGCAGCAGGCGCGCAAAUUACCCACUUCCAGAACGGAGAGGUAGUGACGAAAAAUAACGAGACAGUCCUCUUCGAGGUCUGUCAUCGGAAUGGGUACAAUUUAAAUCCUUUAACGAGGAUCUAUUGGAGGGCAAGUCUGGUGCCAGCAGCCGCGGUAAUUCCAGCUCCAAUAGCGUAUAUUAAAGUUGUUGCGGUUAAAACGCUCGUAGUUGGAUCUGCGGCCUCGGAGAACGGUCCCCCGAAAGGGUGGUCACUGUCUCUCCUAGCCUAAAUUCGAGUCGUCUCUAGGUGCUCUUUACCGGGUGCCUAGAGUGACUAGAACGUUUACUUUGAAAAAAUUAGAGUGCUUAAAGCAGGCGAAAUAGCCUGAAUAAGGUGCAUGGAAUAAUGGAAUAGGACCUCGGUUCUAUUUUGUUGGUUUUCGGAACCCGAGGUAAUGAUUAAGAGG